CAGUCGAGCGGCAGGCAGCAAUGCCGAGAGCGGCGGACUGGUGAGUAACACGUGGGUGACGUACCCUUCAGACCGGGAUAGCCUUUAGAAAUAGAGGAUAAUACCGGGUACGGUCGCAUAUGUCAGAGAUAUGCGAGGAAAGGAGCUCCGGCUCCGCUGAAGGAACGGCCUGCGGCCCAUCAGCUAGUUGGCGGGGUAACGGCCCACCAAGGCAGCAACGGGUAUCCGGCCUAAGAGGGCGAACGGACACAUUGGGACUGAGAUACGGCCCAGACUCCUACGGGAGGCAGCAGGUAAGAAUAUUCCGCAAUGGGCGAAAGCCUGACGGAGCGACGCCGCGUGGAUGAUGAAGGCCGGAAGGUUGUAAAAUCCUUUUAUGACUGACGAAUAAGUAUGCGAGGAAAUGAGCAUACGGUGACGGUAGGUCAUGAAUAAGCACCGGCUAAUUACGUGCCAGCAGCCGCGGUAACACGUAAGGUGCAAGCGUUGUUCGGAAUUAUUGGGCGUAAAGGGCAUGUAGGCGGAAAAUCAAGCUUGGUGUGAAAUCCCGGGGCUCAACUCCGGAACUGCAUCGAGAACUG
This 581-nucleotide ribosomal RNA is filed under the name uncultured Treponema sp. RNAcentral's name for it is "bacterial SSU rRNA". It matches the Rfam family "Bacterial small subunit ribosomal RNA", at positions 59 to 635 of the family's 1533-position model. Lineage: Bacteria; Pseudomonadati; Spirochaetota; Spirochaetia; Treponematales; Treponemataceae. The record is from RNAcentral.